UUUUUCUCUCUCCUCAUUUAAACAGGAUAGCCACUGAGCAAGCCUGUAAGGCUAUUGGUCUGCCCAUUCUGGUUUCUUCACCAAUGAGAAAACUGGGACCUGGGGAGUUUGCAGAAGCCAUCCAAAGGCACCUGCUUCUCACAGCACAGCAGCUUCUUGCAGCCCUCCCUCCUGUCUUGUUUCUCCCUUGGUUGAGAGGAGAGGCCAGAACCGGAUGCAGCCAGUUCCAACAGUAAUGAAUUGCUCUAAGGUGUGGAGCCAAGAACCGGUGACAAGGUCAGGAAAUUCCACCCUGGGGCACUGACCCAACUAAGAGACUGUGCAUGAUGGCUAAGUUCAGAGCUCUGAGGAGAUGGUAAAACUCAUUUGCAAUGAAACAAGCUAUUUCCCAACUCUGCAGCCAGCUCCUCUUCCCCUUAGGCUGUGAGUGGAUGCAGCCUGAGGCCUCCCCAGAAGCAGAUCCUGGCGCUGUGCUUUCUGUAUAGCCUGCAAAACUGUACAGAAAGCUGGAAGUGAUGCUCCAGGGAGUUAUGUCUCCCCAUCUUGACCCACAGCAAUACCUGAGGCUUGUUG
This 573-nucleotide long non-coding RNA is filed under the name Pongo abelii (Sumatran orangutan). RNAcentral describes it as "lincRNA". Lineage: Eukaryota; Metazoa; Chordata; Mammalia; Primates; Hominidae. The record is from RNAcentral.